RNAcentral lists this transfer RNA (74 nucleotides) under Alphaproteobacteria bacterium. RNAcentral's name for it is "tRNA-Gly". It matches the Rfam family "tRNA". From Rfam's summary of the family: Transfer RNA (tRNA) molecules are approximately 80 nucleotides in length. Their secondary structure includes four short double-helical elements and three loops (D, anti-codon, and T loops). RNAcentral also lists the same sequence under 1 other name. Lineage: Bacteria; Pseudomonadati; Pseudomonadota; Alphaproteobacteria. The record is from RNAcentral.
GCGGGUGUAGUUCAAUGGUAGAACAUCAGCUUCCCAAGCUGAAUACGAGGGUUCGAUUCCCUCCACCCGCUCCA